UCGAACGGCAGCGGGGGAUAGCCUGCUAUCCUGCCGGCGAGUGGCGGACGGGUGAGUAAUGCAUGGGGAGCUGCCCAAUCGAGGGGGAUAACAACUGGAAACGGUUGCUAAUACCGCAUACGCCCUGCGGGGGAAAGGUGGGGACCUUCGGGCCUACCGCGAUUGGAUGCACCCCUGUGGGAUUAGCUAGUUGGUGAGGUAACGGCUCACCAAGGCGACGAUCUCUAGCUGGUUUGAGAGGAUGACCAGCCCCACUGGAAAUGAGACACGGUCCCGACUCCUACGGGAGGCAGCAGUGGGGAAUAUUGCACAAUGGGGGAAACCCUGAUGCAGCCCUGCCGCGUGUGUGAAGAAGGCCUUCGGGUUGUAAAGCACUUUCAGUGGGGAGGAAGGGGUGAUGACUAAUAUUCAUCAGCAUUGACGUUACCCACAGAAGAAGCACCGGCUAACUCCGUG
This 456-nucleotide ribosomal RNA is filed under the name uncultured bacterium. RNAcentral describes it as "bacterial SSU rRNA". It matches the Rfam family "Bacterial small subunit ribosomal RNA", at positions 62 to 507 of the family's 1533-position model. The record is from RNAcentral.